This 427-nucleotide ribosomal RNA is filed under the name uncultured Clostridium sp. RNAcentral's name for it is "bacterial SSU rRNA". It matches the Rfam family "Bacterial small subunit ribosomal RNA", at positions 355 to 794 of the family's 1533-position model. Lineage: Bacteria; Bacillati; Bacillota; Clostridia; Eubacteriales; Clostridiaceae. The record is from RNAcentral.
UAAGGGAUAUUGCACAAUGGGGGGAAACCCUGAUGCAGCAACGCCGCGUGAGGGAAGAAGGUUUUCGGAUUGUAAACCUCUGUUUUUAGUGAAGAAACAAAUGACGGUAGCUAAAGAGGAAGCCACGGCUAACUACGUGCCAGCAGCCGCGGUAAUACGUAGGUGGCAAGCGUUGUCCGGAUUUACUGGGUGUAAAGGGUGCGCAGGCGGGAUUGCAAGUUGGAUGUGAAAUACCGGAGCUCAACUCCGGAGCUGCAUCCAAAACUGUAGUUCUUGAGUGAAGUAGAGGUAGGCGGAAUUCCGAGUGUAGCGGUAAAAUGCGUAGAUAUUCGGAGGAACACCAGUGGCGAAGGCGGCCUACUGGGGCUUUAACUGACGCUGAGGCACGAAAGCAUGGGGAGCAAACAGGAUUAGAUACCCUGGUAGU